RNAcentral lists this ribosomal RNA (492 nucleotides) under uncultured bacterium. RNAcentral's name for it is "partial 16S ribosomal RNA". It matches the Rfam family "Bacterial small subunit ribosomal RNA", at positions 29 to 507 of the family's 1533-position model. The record is from RNAcentral.
AGUGAACGCUGGCGGUAGGCCUAACACAUGCAAGCCGAACGGCAGCACAGUAAGAGCUUGCUCUUACGGGUGGCGAGUGGCGGACGGGUGAGGAAUACAUCGGAAUCUACUUUUUCGUGGGGGAUAACGUAGGGAAACUUACGCUAAUACCGCAUACGACCUACGGGUGAAAGCAGGGGAUCUUCGGACCUUGCGCGAUUGAAUGAGCCGAUGUCGGAUUAGCUAGUUGGCGGGGUAAAGGCCCACCAAGGCGACGAUCCGCAGCUGGUCUGAGAGGAUGAUCAGCCACACUGGAACUGAGACACGGUCCAGACUCCUACGGGAGGCAGCAGUGGGGAAUAUUGGACAAUGGGCGCAAGCCUGAUCCAGCCAUACCGCGUGGGUGAAGAAGGCCUUCGGGUUGUAAAGCCCUUUUGUUGGGAAAGAAAAGCAGCAGGUUAAUACCCCGCUGUUCUGACGGUACCCAAAGAAUAAGCACCGGCUAACUUCGUG